RNAcentral lists this long non-coding RNA (223 nucleotides) under Bos taurus (domestic cattle). Its description in RNAcentral is "long non-coding RNA NONBTAT017860". Lineage: Eukaryota; Metazoa; Chordata; Mammalia; Artiodactyla; Bovidae. The record is from RNAcentral.
ACUCCAGGUGUGAAUUCCUUGAAAUCAGGAAACAAAGGAAGACCUUUUCGCUUUCAUUUCCCUCUACCUAAAAUAUCUUUGGCUGAUUUCUCAAAUGGGUAGAAAAACUAUUCAGAUUUGACUGAAAAAGGAAAGAGAAAACUCAAUAGUGCCUUUUCUUUCCAGGGGCUUAGCACCCAGGUGACAGCAAGGGCCGCUCCAGUUUCUAAGUGAAAGUGGCCAG